RNA transcript from Gossypium raimondii (Peruvian cotton), 882 nucleotides. It is a transcript of the gene named superoxide dismutase [Cu-Zn], chloroplastic, with no coding region annotated. The record is from RefSeq and is a predicted model, not a curated record. The transcript is spliced from 8 exons. NCBI's taxonomy places the organism in Eukaryota, Viridiplantae, Streptophyta, Magnoliopsida, Malvales, Malvaceae.
UUAAGCUAAAGCACAGUAGAUUCUAGUUAAAUCCCAGGGGUCACUGCAGCCACGACAACCUCGUCUCACAUUAUCUCCAUCGUAAUCCUACACUGUUCACUCACUCAUCAAAUGCAAGCUGCAGCAAUAGUAGCCAUGGUAGUCCACGCUAUUCUCACUAUAAUCCCAUCUCACCACACUCUCCUUCAUGCACUGUCGUCACCUAACCCCUCGUCCAUCCCUUUCCAAUGCUGCUACUGUCCCCAAGAAGCAGUUUUCCGUGCUUGCUGUAUCCAAGAAUGCUGUCGCGGUUCUUAAAGGUGAUUCUAAAGUUGAAGGCGUUGUCACCUUGACUCAAGAAGAUGAUGGUCCAACAACUGUGAAUGUUCGCGUUACUGGUCUUACUCCAGGGCUUCACGGGUUCCACCUUCAUGAGUAUAGUGACACAACAAAUGGAUGCAUGUCAACGGGAGCACAUUUCAAUCCUAACCGUAUGACACAUGGUGCUCCUGAGAGCGAAGUCCGCCAUGCGGGUGACCUGGGAAACAUAGUUGCUAAUGCUGAUGGAGUGGCAGAGGCAACAAUCGUGGACAAGCAGAUACCACUAAGUGGCCCAAAUGCUGUCAUUGGAAGAGCAUUUGUAGUUCAUGAGCUUGAGGAUGACCUUGGAAAGGGUGGACAUGAACUUAGUCUAACGACAGGCAAUGCAGGUGGAAGAUUGGCAUGUGGUGUCGUGGGUUUGACACCAAUAUAAAGAAACCAGCUUGGUCUUCCGCCAUUGUUGUUUGCUUUUCCUACACAUUAGUUACUCAUUGAAUCCAGUAAUUUGGCUUUAAAACCAACAAAUUUGAAUUUAAUUAUGAAUAGAAAAUUGAUUUUAGAUAUUCUAUUAUUUUUAAAUAA